This 386-nucleotide ribosomal RNA is filed under the name uncultured bacterium. RNAcentral describes it as "bacterial SSU rRNA". It matches the Rfam family "Bacterial small subunit ribosomal RNA", at positions 30 to 417 of the family's 1533-position model. The record is from RNAcentral.
AUUGAACGCUGGCGGCAUGCCUUACACAUGCAAGUCGAACGGCAGCGGGCCUUCGGGUGCCGGCGAGUGGCGAACGGGUGAGUAAUGCAUCGGAACGUGCCAUUGAGUGGGGGGAUAACGUAGCGAAAGUUGCGCUAAUACCGCAUAUUCUGUGAGCAGGAAAGCAGGGGACCGCAAGGCCUUGCGCUCUUUGAGCGGCCGAUGUCAGAUUAGCUAGUUGGUGAGGUAAAAGGCUUACCAAGGCGACGAUCUGUAGCGGGUCUGAGAGGAUGAUCCGCCACACUGGAACUGAGACACGGUCCAGACUCCUACGGGAGGCAGCAGUGGGGAAUUUUGGACAAUGGGGGCAACCUGAUCCAGCCAUGCCGCGUGAGUGAAGAAGGCCU